This 188-nucleotide ribosomal RNA is filed under the name uncultured bacterium. Its description in RNAcentral is "partial 16S ribosomal RNA". It matches the Rfam family "Bacterial small subunit ribosomal RNA", at positions 1306 to 1500 of the family's 1533-position model. The record is from RNAcentral.
UGCAACUCGACUCCAUGAAGCUGGAUUCGCUAGUAAUCGCGCAUCAGCCAUGGCGCGGUGAAUACGUUCCCGGGGCCUUGUACACACCGCCCGUCAAGCCAUGGGAGCCGGGGGUGCCUGAAGUACGUGACCGCGAGGAGCGUCCUAGGGCAAAACUGGUGACUGGGGCUAAGUCGUAACAAGGUAGC